GCCUCGUUGGAAAGAUGGUUGAUGACCUCUCCUUCUUCCGUCAUACUCCGUAGAGCUAAUCGGCUUUUUUCUUUCUUUUUUUUGGAUCCCUAAAGUUUUAAUAUUUUUUUCUAACUUUCCACUCAAUUUUUCUGCUCCCAAGACUUAUUCCCAGAUCUCCUAUUUAUAGAUGAAUUUUCACCUUUUUUGAUAGAAAAAAAAUCUUAAAACCCUUGAAAAACGUAUUUUAUCCGUAGAAAUUUUUCUGACCGUCGGAUCAGCUUUGGACCUCUCAGUUCUAUCCAAAAUCUGAUGUUUAAAUCUUUAUCAGGAUCGGAUUCCACCACAACCGUCCGAUCGCACUCCAGAUUGAAUUCUGACCAUUGGAUGGCGCCAAAUCACUCCUUAACAAAAUCGGGAACGAUGACAGCCGUCGGAUCUCGCGAUGGAUAGAAUCUGGACCGUCGAAUCGCGCAAAAUCAUCUCAGCCUACUGUGAGCCGUGCUUGUAAACCGCGAAAGGUUUCCUAUGGAUCGCGUCCUGAUUCUGUAGACCGAGCUACCGGUCCACCAUGCACCGAAGGCUAUUUUUAAAAUUUUUUACGAUACUUUGGCUCGACUUUUUACUCUG
RNAcentral lists this long non-coding RNA (609 nucleotides) under Elaeis guineensis (African oil palm). RNAcentral describes it as "long non-coding RNA (EGUI_LNC065844)". Lineage: Eukaryota; Viridiplantae; Streptophyta; Magnoliopsida; Arecales; Arecaceae. The record is from RNAcentral.